GGAUUUUCUUACAUGAGGUGUUUCUUCCCUUCAUCUUCCACACCCUUCCCAACCUUGACUCAAAGAUCCAACCUUGUCGGGCGCAGCGGCUCACGCCUGUAAUCCCAGCACUUUGGGAGGCCAAGGCGGGUGGAUCACCUGAGGUCAGAAGUUUGAGACCAGCCUGACCGACAUGAUGAAACCCAGUCUCUACCGAAAAUACAAGAAAUUAGCCAGGCAUGGUGGUGGGCGCCUGUAAUCCCAGCUAUGCGGGAGGCAGAGGCAGGAGAAUUACUUGAACCUGGGAGGCAGAGGUUGCAGCAAGCCAAGAUUGUGCCAUUGCACUCCAGCCUGGGCAACAAGAGCGAAACUCCGUCUCAAAAAAAAAAAAAAAAAAAAAAUCCAACCUUGAGUGGAUGAGACUAGUUUCAUUAUUUGAUUCAGGGCCCUAGCACAGGGGAACUAGAGACAGACCCCACAGAAGAACUGAACUAAGAAUGAAACUGGUGUGUGAUGCAAGCUGGGUAGGAUGAAGGGGAAAACCAAACAUCUGUCCAAGUUCCUCUUUCAGCCGUGCUGAGGUUUCCUGUAGCCUCCCCCUCUCCUUCCUCAAACCUCUUCCAUCACUAAGCAAGUCCCCACUUUAGAAAAGCAUCUGGAUGCCCACGCCACCACCCUCCCAGCCACCUCUGAAGUUGCCAGGCUUCCCAACAUUCUUGUCUGUGAUAUUAAAGCCAUGACAGCAAACAGCCCCUUUCUCCUAAGGUUCCUGAUUUGAAGUGGCAAAACAAGGCAGUGGCAUAGUCUCCUGUCCUAUGUCCUUGGCAUGCAGCCUCCACCCAGCUCUGGCUGCAGAGGGCCGCACUCCGCUUGUACCGCAACUCAUGCACAGUCCAGACUUAUACAGCAGCCGGCAACCCUAAGGGCAGGAUGAUUCCGAGACACACCAAAUCUGUAUGUUGAUGUGUUGUCCCAAAUUUAUUUCUCCAGCCUAAAUUUCCCUCUCUGGCACUUGGAGCUCAGUGUCAACUUGACAUCUUUACCUGGGUAUCUAACAUGCAUCUUAAAUGUACUAUAAAUGUAAUAAAUGACUAAAUAAUGA
Molecule: long non-coding RNA, 1081 nt
Organism: Pan troglodytes (chimpanzee)
Lineage: Eukaryota; Metazoa; Chordata; Mammalia; Primates; Hominidae
Exons: 3
Source: RefSeq, a predicted model, not a curated record